AGUGGCUCACACCAGUAAUCCCAGCACUUUGGGAGGCUGAUGUGAGUAGACCACU
This is a microRNA precursor of Gorilla gorilla gorilla (western lowland gorilla), 55 nucleotides long. The record is from Ensembl. Lineage: Eukaryota; Metazoa; Chordata; Mammalia; Primates; Hominidae.